RNAcentral lists this ribosomal RNA (195 nucleotides) under uncultured Nitrosomonas sp. Its description in RNAcentral is "partial 16S ribosomal RNA". It matches the Rfam family "Bacterial small subunit ribosomal RNA", at positions 337 to 524 of the family's 1533-position model. The record is from RNAcentral. Lineage: Bacteria; Pseudomonadati; Pseudomonadota; Betaproteobacteria; Nitrosomonadales; Nitrosomonadaceae.
UCCUACGGGAGGCAGCAGUGGGGAAUUUUGGACAAUGGGCGAAAGCCUGAUCCAGCCAUGCCGCGUGAGUGAAGAAGGCCUUCGGGUUGUAAAGCUCUUUUAGUCGGAAAGAAAGAGUUGCAAUGAAUAAUUGUGAUUUAUGACGGUACCGACAGAAAAAGCACCGGCUAACUACGUGCCAGCAGCCGCGGUAAU